CCUACGGGUGGCAGCAGUAGGGAAUCUUCCACAAUGGACGAAAGUCUGAUGGAGCAACGCCGCGUGAGUGAAGAAGGGUUUCGGCUCGUAAAGCUCUGUUGGUAGUGAAGAAAGAGAGAGGUAGUAACUGGCCUUCAUUUGACGGUAACUACUUAGAAAGCCACGGCUAACUACGUGCCAGCAGCCGCGGUAAUACGUAGGUGGCAAGCGUUGUCCGGAUUUAUUGGGCGUAAAGCGAGUGCAGGCGGUUUGAUAAGUCUGAUGUGAAAGCCCUCGGCUCAACCGGGGAAUUGCAUCAGAAACUGGUGGACUUGAGUGCAGAAGAGGAGAGUGGAACUCCAUGUGUAGCGGUGGAAUGCGUAGAGAUAUGGAAGAACACCAGUGGCGAAGGCGGCUCUCUGGUCUGCAACUGACGCUGAGGCUCGAAAGCAUGGGGAGCGAACAGGAUUAGAUACCCCAGUAGUC
Molecule: ribosomal RNA, 465 nt
Filed under: uncultured bacterium
Lineage: Bacteria
Description: partial 16S ribosomal RNA
Rfam family: Bacterial small subunit ribosomal RNA
Source: RNAcentral